This 636-nucleotide ribosomal RNA is filed under the name uncultured Actinomycetes bacterium. RNAcentral describes it as "bacterial SSU rRNA". It matches the Rfam family "Bacterial small subunit ribosomal RNA", at positions 72 to 722 of the family's 1533-position model. The record is from RNAcentral. Lineage: Bacteria; Bacillati; Actinomycetota; Actinomycetes.
AGCCCAGCUUGCUGGGUGGAUUAGUGGCGAACGGGUGAGUAACACGUGAGUAACCUGCCCUUAACUCUGGGAUAAGCCUGGGAAACUGGGUCUAAUACCGGAUAGGAGCGUCCACCGCAUGGUGGGUGUUGGAAAGAUUUAUCGGUUUUGGAUGGACUCGCGGCCUAUCAGCUUGUUGGUGAGGUAAUGGCUCACCAAGGCGACGACGGGUAGCCGGCCUGAGAGGGUGACCGGCCACACUGGGACUGAGACACGGCCCAGACUCCUACGGGAGGCAGCAGUGGGGAAUAUUGCACAAUGGGCGCAAGCCUGAUGCAGCGACGCCACGUGAGGGAUGACGGCCUUCGGGUUGUAAACCUCUUUCAGUAGGGAAGAAGCGAAAGUGACGGUACCUGCAGAAGAAGCACCGGCUAACUACGUGCCAGCAGCCGCGGUAAUACGUAGGGUGCGAGCGUUAUCCGGAAUUAUUGGGCGUAAAGAGCUCGUAGGCGGUUUGUCGCGUCUGUCGUGAAAGUCCGGGGCUUAACCCCGGAUCUGCGGUGGGUACGGGCAGACUAGAGUGCAGUAGGGGAGACUGGAAUUCCUGGUGUAGCGGUGGAAUGCGCAGAUAUCAGGAGGAACACCGAUGGCGAAGGC